GCCAUAGUAGCUCAACGGUUAAGUGAUUGGCUGCUAACCAAAUGGUUGGCAGUUCAAACCUGCCCAGUAGCU
RNAcentral lists this transfer RNA (72 nucleotides) under Loxodonta africana (African savanna elephant). It matches the Rfam family "tRNA". Rfam says of the family: Transfer RNA (tRNA) molecules are approximately 80 nucleotides in length. Their secondary structure includes four short double-helical elements and three loops (D, anti-codon, and T loops). Further hydrogen bonds mediate the characteristic L-shaped molecular structure. tRNAs have two regions of fundamental functional importance: the anti-codon, which is responsible for specific mRNA codon recognition, and the 3' end, to which the tRNAs corresponding amino acid is attached (by aminoacyl-tRNA synthetases). tRNAs cope with the degeneracy of the genetic code in two manners: having more than one tRNA (with a specific anti-codon) for a particular amino acid; and 'wobble' base-pairing, i.e. permitting non-standard base-pairing at the 3rd anti-codon position. The record is from Rfam by way of RNAcentral. Lineage: Eukaryota; Metazoa; Chordata; Mammalia; Proboscidea; Elephantidae.